Molecule: long non-coding RNA, 880 nt
Organism: Aedes albopictus (Asian tiger mosquito)
Lineage: Eukaryota; Metazoa; Arthropoda; Insecta; Diptera; Culicidae
Exons: 2
Source: RefSeq, a predicted model, not a curated record
CGAAUCGUAGGUGGUUAGGUGGAGAGCGAGAACAUAUGUAUAUACUGUUCGUUAUGAAUUAUUGUCGUAAAGCUUACUUGUUUAUUGUACACAAUAUUGUAUGAAAGAUGGAUUUUAAUUGUAACUGUAGCUAAAAUAUUAGGCCUACUCCCGAAGUUCAACUGUGAAUUUAAAAAGGACAUUAAAAUGUAACACUCGUAACACACAUAACACACAGAACACCUACAAAGUGGGAGGAUCAGUUGGAUAAUGGAACAACGAUUGGAAGGAUUGAAAGGAAGGGCUAAGGAGAGGGUAAUGGAGGCUGGGAAAUGGGAAGGGGAGGUAAGGAAUUGGGUAUGCCAUAAGGAAAGUAGGAACAAGUCGGUCUUUUCCACUUGAGACUCGGAGCAAUCCAGACGUUUUUUUUACAAAGUGAAUAGAAGUGACAAUUUAGUCAGUUAUACAGUGGAGAAGAUUUUAUCCUCGCCUAGAUAUCCGCAAGAGUCAGGACCCAUUUGGUAUCAGCUAGGACCGUUUAGCGUCGCCAUACCUGCCUGCCGGUACUACGAUACCCGGUGAAGCACGUGGAGAGCCAUUUCUACGACCAGGCAUUUCCAAACCCUGAGCUGCUUCCUCCGUGAUAGCUACGCCCAACCCCGACAUUGGGAGCCCGUUCCUCGAGCACGUUCUGCACGCUCAUACCCCUUCAAGCCAUCCCAUCUGCGACGACGAGUGAGCAGCUAGCACCCGUUGAGAACCACCAGAGUGAUCCUUCCCGCCGGCCGGCCCCGCAUUACACACCCACACGUACACCCGUAAGUUAAUAAUAAACUGUGGAAAAUAGCUAAUAGUGUUUGGACUUCUGAUCAUCGCGAAGAGCCGACCCUGUGACCAAGAG